UUCUUAUCAAGAGUAGGCAGAGGGACUAGCCCAAUGAAGCCCGGCAACCGACUUCUAUGAAGCACGGUGCUAAUUCUUGCAGCAAGCGCUGAGAGAUAAGAU
Non-coding RNA from Bacillus pumilus SAFR-032, 102 nucleotides. The record is from Rfam. Lineage: Bacteria; Bacillati; Bacillota; Bacilli; Caryophanales; Bacillaceae.